CACGUAGGCGGAUCAUUAAGUGAGGGGUGAAAUCCCAGGGCUCAACCCUGGAACUGCCUCUCAUACUGGUAGUCUUGAGUUCGAGAGAGGUGAGUGGAAUUCCGAGUGUAGAGGUGAAAUUCGUAGAUAUUCGGAGGAACACCAGUGGCGAAGGCGGCUCACUGGCUCGAUACUGACGCUGAGGUGCGAAAGUGUGGGGAGCAAACAGGAUUAGAUACCCUGGUAGUCC
This 229-nucleotide ribosomal RNA is filed under the name uncultured bacterium. RNAcentral describes it as "partial 16S ribosomal RNA". It matches the Rfam family "Bacterial small subunit ribosomal RNA", at positions 568 to 796 of the family's 1533-position model. The record is from RNAcentral.